RNAcentral lists this small RNA (99 nucleotides) under Enterobacillus tribolii. RNAcentral describes it as "Salmonella enterica Typhi npcRNA 44". It matches the Rfam family "Salmonella enterica Typhi npcRNA 44". Lineage: Bacteria; Pseudomonadati; Pseudomonadota; Gammaproteobacteria; Enterobacterales; Hafniaceae. The record is from Rfam by way of RNAcentral.
CUUUAACAAUCCGGAACAAGCUGAAAAUUUGAAACGAUGAUUAGUCUUUAUGAUUAAUCACGAGUCUCUCAACAAACUUGCAUCCCGAAACAUCUUCGG